RNAcentral lists this ribosomal RNA (978 nucleotides) under Phylloscypha phyllogena. Its description in RNAcentral is "partial 25S large subunit ribosomal RNA". It matches the Rfam family "Eukaryotic large subunit ribosomal RNA", at positions 1 to 972 of the family's 3401-position model. The record is from RNAcentral. Lineage: Eukaryota; Fungi; Ascomycota; Pezizomycetes; Pezizales; Pezizaceae.
AACCCACCCAUUUUUAUCUUGGGUGACCUCAGAUCAGGUAGGGAUACCCCGCUGAACUUAAGCAUAUCAAUAAGCGGAGGCAAGAAACCAACAGGGAUUGCCUUAGUAACGGCGAGUGAAGCGGCAAAAGCUCAGAUUUGAAAUCUGGCGUCAUUUUGGCGUCCGAGUUGUAAUCUGUAGAGGAGUAUUCGAGUGUAGCUUUGGCUUAAGUUCCUUGGAACAGGGCGUCAUAGAGGGUGAGAACCCCGUUAACGGCCUUUGUCUUAUGCUCAUGUGAAUCUCCUUCAACGAGUCGAGUUGUUUGGGAAUGCAGCUCUAAAUGGGUGGUAAAUUCCAUCUAAAGCUAAAUACUGGCAAGAGACCGAUAGCGCACAAGUAGAGUGAUCGAAAGAUGAAAAGAACUCUGAACAGAGAGUUAAAUAGUACGUGAAAUUGUUGAAAGGGAAGCACUUGCGACCAGACGCACUUGCAGCCGAUCAACCUCCAUUCUUGGUGGUGCACUCGGUUGUAGGUGGGUCAGCAUCAGUUACGGCGGUGGGAAAAAGACCUUGGGAAUGUGGCUCUCUUCGGGGAGUGUUAUAGCCCUUGGUGUAAUGCUGCCAGCUGUGACUGAGGACCGCGCUUCGGUGAGGAUGCUGACAUAAUGGUCGUAAGUGACCCGUCUUGAAACACGGACCAAGGAGUCUAACAUCUAUGCGAGUGUUUGGGUGUUGAAACCCUUACGCGUAAUGAAAGUAAAUGGAGGUGGGAACCGCAAGGUGCACCAUCGACCGAUCCUGAUGUUUUCGGAUGGAUUUGAGUAGGAGCAUAGCUGUUGGGACCCGAAAGAUGGUGAACUAUGCCUGAAUAGGGUGAAGCCAGAGGAAACUCUGGUGGAGGCUCGCAGCGGUUCUGACGUGCAAAUCGAUCGUCAAAUUUGGGUAUAGGGGCGAAAGACUAAUCGAACCAUCUAGUAGCUGGUUCCGGCCGAAGUUUCCC